This 379-nucleotide long non-coding RNA is filed under the name Capsicum annuum. Its description in RNAcentral is "long non-coding RNA (CANN_LNC005172)". Lineage: Eukaryota; Viridiplantae; Streptophyta; Magnoliopsida; Solanales; Solanaceae. The record is from RNAcentral.
UCGGGAUUUUGAGUAGUUAAGUUUAGAAUUCUUUAUAUCAUAAAUAUUAACUAAUGUUGUCUUUGAUUUAGACUAUUUUAUGCUUAGGAGUUCUACCGUAGGUUACAACGAAAAAAAUUAGGUUUAGGAUUAUUCCAAAAUCCGUAACAUGAAAUCAUGAUAAUGUCAAUGAUUUAGGAGAAAAGAUUCUUCAAUGCAUUGUUCCAUCCUUCAAGAGGAAUUAUUAUUCUGUGGCCCUGUUUUUUAUGCACGAGAAUAAAAACUUUGUUUGUUCAUUCAUGAACUAUGUACCAUCCUUAACACAACUUAUAUCCUUAAUCCAAGAAGAUCUUGAUUUCGAAUAGUUUUAAUAGUUCUACUCACGUCAAUACAAUGGAAA